This 120-nucleotide ribosomal RNA is filed under the name Gopherus agassizii (Agassiz's desert tortoise). The record is from RNAcentral. Lineage: Eukaryota; Metazoa; Chordata; Testudines; Testudinidae.
GAUAGCAGUCAUACACUCUCUGGUGCCAUGAUCCUGUCAUAUAUCAUAAGCUAAUUGGAGUUGGGCUGGGUCAGAACUUAGAUGGGAGACCUCAGAAUCAAUACUUGGUUGCUGCAGGAA